GUUCAGUCUACACUAUAUCUGCUGAGGCUAAGAUAAGCGUAGUUCUGAAGUAUGUAUAGACUCCUCCUUCAGGAAUAAAUUGGUUGGCUUUUAACACGUCGUUUUAAUUGUAGUUUUUUCAUGAAAACGAACACACUUGGAACCUCGAGAGUUAAUUGGUAAUUUUAAAACACAGGUUCCCUUAAAUGGUGAGCCCGUACGUCAUCCUGGAAGGACAUCAGAUAAAAGGACAGAGGAGUGGACAGGGAUUCAGUUGGACUGCAAUCUCCCCGGUGCACCGACAGAAAGAGGAGUCUUAUCCUCCGGAUUGUCCACAAGGCCUUUGAGGGGAACGACCCCCACGGCCAAUAUCAGCUGCUGUCCCUGAAAGAGGACGUGGAGACCAUAAGCGCGCUCGCUCCAUUGGACGUCGCCUCUCUGAAUCUGAGAGGUGUUUCUCACCACUAAGAGAAUCAAGACCUUCCUGAGGAUCGUCUCAAUGGAAUGGCCAUGCUCUCCAAUGAGAAGAAUCUUGUAUCGUCAUUACUUGCGAUCCAGUAUCCAGAAAGCACGAACAUUCUUGAUCAGCAAUAAUUAUUUUGCCAGUGCAUUUUGAGCUGAUUAAACCUGGUUGAUACAUUUCA
Molecule: long non-coding RNA, 623 nt
Organism: Phyllopteryx taeniolatus (common seadragon)
Lineage: Eukaryota; Metazoa; Chordata; Actinopteri; Syngnathiformes; Syngnathidae
Exons: 3
Source: RefSeq, a predicted model, not a curated record